UUCGCUGUAAAUAAUAUAAUGCCCAAAUUUCCAAGACUCUGACUAAAGAGACAAAUUAGCAGAAAAGGUUUUUGCAUCAUCUCCCAGCAAUCUUCUCGCCAGUCGACGUCGUUUACUUAUAAGAGAUAGGUUAUGGUAACAUUAGACCUCAUCGAGUUGGAGCGUGAUAAGCUGGAACUGUUCGUCAAGAUAGUUACUAUGUUCGGGAUGUUGCUGCUCCUGGCCGUGAUGAUCUUCAGAAGCUAGAGGACCGCUGUUCGGAUCAAGUAGGCUUCACGCCAGUCCCGACAAAAAUUAUAGAGCUAACGGCCGCGGUUCAGCAUGGACUCCAUUCGACGACCCAACUUCAUUAUAGGAACAUAAAUUUCGCCGCUGCGGCGCCAAUUUGUUCUUAACUGAUAUUGAUAACAUUUUAUCCUAACUAUUAUGUAACUUUUUAAGCGAAUAAUAUUUUAAUCAAAUGCUGACAGUGAAGUGAUUCA
This is a long non-coding RNA of Hyalella azteca, 482 nucleotides long. RefSeq lists it as uncharacterized. Lineage: Eukaryota; Metazoa; Arthropoda; Malacostraca; Amphipoda; Hyalellidae. The record is from RefSeq and is a predicted model, not a curated record. The transcript has 2 exons.